This 72-nucleotide transfer RNA is filed under the name Candidatus Dadabacteria bacterium CSP1-2. RNAcentral's name for it is "tRNA-Thr". It matches the Rfam family "tRNA". From Rfam's summary of the family: Transfer RNA (tRNA) molecules are approximately 80 nucleotides in length. Lineage: Bacteria; Pseudomonadati; Thermodesulfobacteriota; Candidatus Dadabacteria. The record is from RNAcentral.
GCCGACGUAGCUCAGUGGUAGAGCAGCGCACUCGUAAUGCGCAGGUCAAGGGUUCAAGUCCCUUCGUCGGCU